GGGGAUGAAAGGCUUCGACGGAAGGCGACAGGUCCCGGACGGCGAGCCGAGGUGCGUCGCCUCGUAAAACAGGCGCAAAAAGAUAAGUGCCAACAGCACGAAUGUUGCUGCCCUCCCCGUUGCUGCCUGAUGCAGCACGGAUAGGGCAACUGGUCUCCUGAGAAGCGAGGCCACGUCCGCCCACCCCGCCCCCCGACCGGGGUGGACCGGGCGCGACAAAGUCGGGGUGCCGCACGGGUGGGCCGCGACCCGUGCGUAAGACCAGCGGCUGGGCCGGGAUGCCCUUCUGUCGGUCGUAGGGCCCCGGCCGAGAGCCACGACCGACUACGCUCGUAGAAGUCCGAGGGCCGAACCUUCCGGACGCGGGUUCGAUUCCCGCCAUCUCCACCA
This 390-nucleotide transfer-messenger RNA is filed under the name Anaerolineales. RNAcentral's name for it is "DUEP01 sp011176535 Standard tmRNA". It matches the Rfam family "transfer-messenger RNA". Rfam says of the family: Bacterial tmRNA, also known as 10Sa RNA or SsrA, is named for its dual tRNA and mRNA-like properties. Its role is to liberate the mRNA from a stalled ribosome. To accomplish this part of the tmRNA is used as a reading frame that ends in a translation stop signal. RNAcentral also lists the same sequence under 4 other names. The record is from RNAcentral. Lineage: Bacteria; Bacillati; Chloroflexota; Anaerolineae.